GUACGCUGGCGGCACGCCUAACACAUGCAAGUCGAACGAAGUAGCAAUACUUAGUGGCAGACGGGUGAGUAACAUGUAGGUAUCUGCCCUUUGGCCUGGAAUAACACGAGGAAACUUGUGCUAAUACCGGAUAAGUCUUUACGGAGAAAGCUUUAUGCACCAUUGGAGGAGCCUGCACUAGAUUAGUUUGUUGGUGGGGUAAUGGCCUACCAAGACUGUGAUCUAUAGCUGAUUUGAGAGGAUGAUCAGCCACAUUGGGACUGAGACACGGCCCAAACUCCUACGGGAGGCAGCAGUGGGGAAUCUUGCACAAUGGAGGAAACUCUGAUGCAGCGAUGCCGCGUGAGUGAAGAAGGCCUUUGGGUUGUAAAGCUCUUUCGUCGGGGAAGAAAAUGACUGUACCCGAAUAAGAA
RNAcentral lists this ribosomal RNA (413 nucleotides) under uncultured bacterium. RNAcentral describes it as "bacterial SSU rRNA". It matches the Rfam family "Bacterial small subunit ribosomal RNA", at positions 31 to 489 of the family's 1533-position model. The record is from RNAcentral.